RNAcentral lists this ribosomal RNA (253 nucleotides) under uncultured bacterium. RNAcentral's name for it is "partial 16S ribosomal RNA". It matches the Rfam family "Bacterial small subunit ribosomal RNA", at positions 524 to 776 of the family's 1533-position model. The record is from RNAcentral.
UACGUAGGGGGCGAGCGUUGUCCGGAUUUAUUGGGCGUAAAGAGCGCGUAGGCGGCCAGGUAGGUCCGUUGUGAAAACUCGAGGCUCAACCUCGAGACGUCGAUGGAAACCAUCUGGCUAGAGUCCGGAAGAGGAGAGUGGAAUUCCUGGUGUAGCGGUGAAAUGCGCAGAUAUCAGGAAGAACACCGGUGGCGAAGGCGGAUCUCUGGGCCGCUACUGACGCUGAGGAGCGAAAGCGUGGGGAGCGAACAGG